AGAGUUUGAUCCUGGCUCAGGAUGAACGCUAGCGGCAGGCUUAACACAUGCAAGUCGAGGGGUAGAAGUUGUUCGGACUUUGAGACCGGCGCACGGGUGCGUAACGCGUAUGCAAUCUACCUUUUACAGAGGGAUAGCCCAGAGAAAUUUGGAUUAAUACCUCAUAGUAUUAUUGAAUGGCAUCAUUUAAUAAUUAAAGUUCCAACGGUAAAAGAUGAGCAUGCGUCCCAUUAGCUAGUUGGUGUGGUAACGGCACACCAAGGCAAUGAUGGGUAGGGGUCCUGAGAGGGAGAUCCCCCACACUGGUACUGAGACACGGACCAGACUCCUACGGGAGGCAGCAGUGAGGAAUAUUGGACAAUGGGCGCAAGCCUGAUCCAGCCAUGCCGCGUGAGUGAUGAAGGCCUUAGGGUUGUAAAGCUCUUUCGACGGGGACGAUGAUGACGGUACCCGUAGAAGAAGCCCCGGCUAACUUCGUGCCAGCAGCCGCGGUAAU
This 496-nucleotide ribosomal RNA is filed under the name uncultured bacterium. RNAcentral describes it as "bacterial SSU rRNA". It matches the Rfam family "Bacterial small subunit ribosomal RNA", at positions 8 to 524 of the family's 1533-position model. The record is from RNAcentral.